GCUUGUGCUGCAUUCCCAGGCUGCGUGUUGCUGACGGCGCUCCUGAUGCUGUUGCGUUCUUCUCCAGGAGGAUUAGACACUUCCUGAGUUACAUGUUGUCGGCCACGAGGAGGGUUGUUUGCAUCUGAAUACUCUCAUGUUCAGAACGAGCAAUGAGAUGGGAGACUCUAUCAGAACUGGCCACUAAUUAAC
Long non-coding RNA from Carassius gibelio (silver crucian carp), 192 nucleotides. RefSeq lists it as uncharacterized. Lineage: Eukaryota; Metazoa; Chordata; Actinopteri; Cypriniformes; Cyprinidae. The transcript has 3 exons. The record is from RefSeq and is a predicted model, not a curated record.